This 619-nucleotide ribosomal RNA is filed under the name Vishniacozyma sp. RNAcentral describes it as "partial large subunit ribosomal RNA". It matches the Rfam family "Eukaryotic large subunit ribosomal RNA", at positions 49 to 657 of the family's 3401-position model. Lineage: Eukaryota; Fungi; Basidiomycota; Tremellomycetes; Tremellales; Bulleribasidiaceae. The record is from RNAcentral.
AGCGGAGGAAAAGAAACUAACAAGGAUUCCCCUAGUAACGGCGAGUGAACCGGGAAGAGCUCAAAUUUGUAAUCUGGCGUCCUUCGGGCGUCCGAGUUGUAAUCUAUAGAGGCGUUUUCCGCGCCGGACCGCGUCCAAGUCCCUUGGAACAGGGUAUCAAAGAGGGUGACAAUCCCGUGCUUGACGCGACGACCGGUGCUAUGUGAUACGUUCUCAACGAGUCGAGUUGUUUGGGAAUGCAGCUCAAAACGGGUGGUAAAUUCCAUCUAAAGCUAAAUAUUGGCGAGAGACCGAUAGCGAACAAGUACCGUGAGGGAAAGAUGAAAAGCACUUUGGAAAGAGAGUUAAACAGUACGUGAAAUUGUUGAAAGGGAAACGAUUGAAGUCAGUCGUGUGGAGGGUAUUCAGCCGUCUCUGACGGUGUACUUGCCCUUCACGGGUCAACAUCAGUUUUGACCGGUGGAAAAAGGUGGUGGGAAUGUGGCACCUCCGGGUGUGUUAUAGCCUGCUAUUGUAUACACCGGUCGAGACUGAGGCAUGCAGCUCGCCUUUAUGGCCGGGGUUCGCCCACGUCCGAGCUUAGGAUGUUGACAUAAUGGCUUUAAACGACCCGUCUUGA